RNAcentral lists this unclassified non-coding RNA (245 nucleotides) under uncultured fungus. RNAcentral describes it as "partial contains 5.8S ribosomal RNA, internal transcribed spacer 2, and large subunit ribosomal RNA". The stretch from base 1 to 52 matches the Rfam family "5.8S ribosomal RNA", at positions 103 to 154 of the family's 154-position model. The record is from RNAcentral. Lineage: Eukaryota; Fungi.
AACGCACAUUGCGCCCUUUGGUAUUCCGAAGGGCAUGCCUGUUCGAGCGUCAUUUCAAACCUUCAAGCACCGCUUGGUCUUGGGCGUCGGUCCCUCCCGGGACCCGCUCGCAACCCGUCGGCGGUACCGUCCGACCCCUAGCGUAGCAAGAAUCUUCCCUCGCUCCGGGGCUCGCGGCGGUGCCUGCCGGUGAACAAACCCCCCGGUUUGACCUCGGAUCAGGUAGGGAUACCCGCUGAACUUAA